RNAcentral lists this ribosomal RNA (495 nucleotides) under uncultured bacterium. RNAcentral describes it as "partial 16S ribosomal RNA". It matches the Rfam family "Bacterial small subunit ribosomal RNA", at positions 28 to 507 of the family's 1533-position model. The record is from RNAcentral.
GACGAACGCUGGCGGCGUGCCUAAUACAUGCAAGUAGAACGCUGAAGGAGGAGCUUGCUUCUCUGGAUGAGUUGCGAACGGGUGAGUAACGCGUAGGUAACCUGCCUGGUAGCGGGGGAUAACGAUUGGAAACGAUAGCUAAUACCGCAUAAGAGUAGAUGUUGCAUGACAUUUGCUUAAAAGGUGCAAUUGCAUCACUACCAGAUGGACCUGCGUUGUAUUAGCUAGUUGGUGGGGUAACGGCUCACCAAGGCGACGAUACAUAGCCGACCUGAGAGGGUGAUCGGCCACACUGGGACUGAGACACGGCCCAGACUCCUACGGGAGGCAGCAGUAGGGAAUCUUCGGCAAUGGACGGAAGUCUGACCGAGCAACGCCGCGUGAGUGAAGAAGGUUUUCGGAUCGUAAAGCUCUGUUGUAAGAGAAGAACGAGUGUGAGAGUGGAAAGUUCACACUGUGACGGUAUCUGACCAGAAAGGGACGGCUAACUACGUG